UCUGGCGCGACUCUCUGGAUGAGCGGUGACUUCGCGUGACAUGGUCCCUCUCUGUCCUUGCGUCCCCCUUCGCGCGCGGGUCUGCGGGGACCGAGAGAGUGGUGCAGCGAUGGCAUCCCGUCGUGUGCGAGGGCUCAUUGUCAAUCGUCGCGACCAGUAUGACGUUCGUGAGACUACUCGUCUGCGCCAGUUUCGGGUUCGUUUGCCUCUCCGUCUCCGAGGCCUUGAAAUGUCGGACGGAGCUGAACGACAGACAGAACGAGGGGUUCUUCGACAUCGCGCGGGCGUGCGCCCAGAACAGCGGCACCACCUCGGGGUCGGACGGAGGGGGCGGGGGUGGGGGCAUGGGGGGCAACUCGGGGGGCGGGGGUAUGGGCGGAGGGGGUAGGCCUUGGUCGCAGAACACGCAAGAUUCGGGCCGAGGCGGCGGAAACGGAGGCGGCCGUCACCAGAGCAAUCAGUACGGAAAUCAGAACAACGAUAGAUACUGCUCCUCCGGCUAUCAGAACUCCGAGCGGGAUCGACCACGGUUCAGCAGCAGCGGGAGCGGCGGAGGCGGCGGAGGCGGCAACGACGACGACUUCUACACGAAGACGCAGUCGGAGCAGCGCUUCCGCGGUGACAGUGGAAGUGGUGGGCGGACACGCCCCGGGCAGUACCGCGUCAAGGUUCAGUACGGCUCCGGCCAGGGGGGCGGCCCCGACUCCAGGGCCUACCCCCUCGGCCGCAAACGCCGCGCCACCAAGAUCAUCUCCAACAACGCCAAAAAACGCCACCGGCCGCAACCCCACUUCUUCCGAGACCGGCAAAACCUCCCUCCUAGAGGAACUCGAUGCGGGAGAAGGGUAGGCAUUUAUAACGGGACCCGCCAGCGGUGGACUGGCCCUAAUGGCCCUCAAAACUCCCUCGACUGUUGAGAUCUCUGCACACCAAACUGCCAGCAUUAACCUGCUCAAGCAAAGCAUUGUGAGGAACGAACUGAACAACCGUGGGUUCUGAUACAGAUCAGAAAACCAAAAUUUGACUGAAUAUCAUUAUUGUCCGAAUAACUUAUCAACGUUUUCCC
RNAcentral lists this long non-coding RNA (1066 nucleotides) under Bemisia tabaci. Its description in RNAcentral is "lncRNA ENSSSA3NGG002258". Lineage: Eukaryota; Metazoa; Arthropoda; Insecta; Hemiptera; Aleyrodidae. The record is from RNAcentral.